GGCAAAAUUCUCAAGAAUUUCUCCAUUUUAGUGAAGAUAUAAGGUGAAUGAAGCUCUCUAUCUAAUGUCAAACUUCACCUAGAAGGCAUGUAUGAAAUUUAAUUUUGUUGCACAAAAAGCUGUGACAGCAGAGUAAGUUGGCACAAUCAAAACGGCAAAUGCGAGUUUGUACAUAGCUACUGAUAUCUCUAAGGGUAGGUAUUUAAACCUUACAGUUCUGGAAGUAGGCAUAGGCCUACCCCAGAACUGUAGGGAUUAUCUGUUUCCUUGCUCAAUGCUCAGUCCCAUGAACAGAGCCUGGUAGACAAUGAACCCCAUAGCCCCAUAAAUAGCACCCAGGACAAGGUACUGGACUGCCUCCAGACCCUGGGCCCCACACUCGUGUGAUAAACAGUGGUCGGACGUCAAAGAAAUUCGUUUUUGAAAUGUGUUCUUUUUUCCCAAUCUAACCCUAUCUAUCCCUAUGAAACACCAGUUUGAUAGAAAAGGGUCCAUUUUGCACUUGAGAAAAAAGAUCAGAAAUCUAGCCAAAUUUCAGAGCUUCGUAACAGGUGAAUGAAAUAGAAAUUUUUCAAUCAGAAUACUUGGAGUUUGAUAAUAUUUCAGUUAUGUUGAAAUUUGAGGUAAAAAUACUGCUCCAGCAAGAUAGAGAAUCAAAGUUAAAGCAGGUCAAUAAUAUAUGAAGGGUGAUGCUGUGACAGCAAUAAAAUCUGAAGAGAUUCAUUUUUUUCAUUGUAGGAAGAGGUCAGAUUAAGUGAAGAUCAUGGAGCAAGUAGUGGCUGAUGUUUGGGCAGCAUCACCAAAGAGAGCCGAACCUGACUGGGACGAGUUCGACCACACAGAGAAUGACAGCGAUGACUGUCACACUAGCAGCAGCACAGCAAGUGAAGAGGAGAGAAAAAAGGACGAAGAAGUCAAAAAAUCUGAACGACUAAAAG
Molecule: long non-coding RNA, 938 nt
Organism: Acanthaster planci (crown-of-thorns starfish)
Lineage: Eukaryota; Metazoa; Echinodermata; Asteroidea; Valvatida; Acanthasteridae
Source: RefSeq, a predicted model, not a curated record